ACGGGAGGCAGCAGUGGGGAAUAUUGGACAAUGGGGGAAACCCUGAUCCAGCGACGCCGCGUGAGUGAAGAAGUAUUUCGGUAUGUAAAGCUCUAUCAGCAGGGAAGAUAAUGACGGUACCUGACUAAGAAGCCCCGGCUAACUACGUGCCAGCAGCCGCGGUAAUACGUAGGGGGCAAGCGUUAUCCGGAUUUACUGGGUGUAAAGGGAGCGUAGACGGUUUUGCAAGUCUGAAGUGAAAGCCCGGGGCCCAACCCCGGAACUGCUUUGGAAACUGUAGAACUGGAGUGCAGGAGAGGUAAGUGGAAUUCCUAGUGUAGCGGUGAAAUGCGUAGAUAUUAGGAGGAACACCAGUGGCGAAGGCGGCUUACUGGACGAUAACUGACGUUGAGGCUCGAAAGCGUGGGGAGCAAACAGGAUUAGAUACCCUGGUA
Molecule: ribosomal RNA, 434 nt
Filed under: uncultured Clostridium sp.
Lineage: Bacteria; Bacillati; Bacillota; Clostridia; Eubacteriales; Clostridiaceae
Description: partial 16S ribosomal RNA
Rfam family: Bacterial small subunit ribosomal RNA
Source: RNAcentral